CAUUCUGACUUGAAACCUCUCUUCUGAUCCAGGAACAACUAUCCUGAGCUGCUGUUCAUGAUUCAGGUUGGCAUCAAUCAAAUUGGAAGCACAUGAAUUAUACAUUAUUGUUUCUGAGCCACAGUUUUUUGUUUUUAUCUGCUAAAGACAUGAAGAAUGGGAACACUACCAUUGCAUCUCCCAGCCCCAGAGAAGGAUGUUCACUCCCAUGUUCUCACCUUUUCUUCAUCUUUAUUUGAUGGCUAUAACUUUGUCAUUCAUAUUUUUUAAAAAUCGUGGGUGGAUGUUUUGGAUUUUUUUAAGAUAUACAGUAAAUACCAACUUCUUAAAUUUUCCCUCGCUGCUUCCAGAGGAGGCUGGUAUAUUUUUUCUCUGUUCAACAACGAGAGAAGUAUCAAGUUUUAGGCUCCCUUCAAAUCAAGACAGUUCGUGUGUAUCUUUGUGGUUCAUAAUCUGAAAACAAAGCAGAUUCUGUGUGACUGAGAUGGGAUCCUAGGGGCUGGAAACCAUCACUGAUUGCCUGUACUGUCCUUCUCCUGUCGUACCAUACCCUUUUCUUUUAAUAAAGACUUAUGUGAGUAUA
RNAcentral lists this long non-coding RNA (583 nucleotides) under Homo sapiens (human). Its description in RNAcentral is "long independently transcribed non-coding RNA 2448 (LINC02448)". Lineage: Eukaryota; Metazoa; Chordata; Mammalia; Primates; Hominidae. The record is from RNAcentral.